RNAcentral lists this ribosomal RNA (499 nucleotides) under uncultured bacterium. Its description in RNAcentral is "bacterial SSU rRNA". It matches the Rfam family "Bacterial small subunit ribosomal RNA", at positions 28 to 528 of the family's 1533-position model. The record is from RNAcentral.
GAUGAACGCUAGCGGCAGGCUUAAUACAUGCAAGUUGAGGGGCAGCAUGAUAUACGCGAGUAUAUUGAUGGCGACCGGCGGACGGGUGAGUAAUAGGUAGGAGACCUACCUCAUACAGGGGGAUAGCAUAGAGAAAUCUGUGGUAAUACCCCAUGAGGUUAUAUGAAUAGAGGCAUAUAAUCAAAGCAUAAGCGAUUAUGCGGUAUGAGAGGGGCCUACUGACCAUUAGCUAGUUGGUGAGGUAAGGGCUCACCAAGGCGAAGAUGGUUAGGGGUUUUGAGAGAGAGAUCCCCCACAUUGGAACUGAGAUACGGUCCAGACUCCUACGGGAGGCAGCAGUAGGGAAUAUUGGGCAAUGGGCGAAAGCCUGACCCAGCGACGCCGCGUGGAGGGAGAAGUCCUUCGGGGCGUAAACUCCUGGACUGGGGGACGAGGAAGGACGGUACCCCAGUAGAAAGGGACGGCGUAACUACGUGCCAGCAGCCGGGUAAUGCUACGU